UACGUAGGGUGCGAGCGUUGUCCGGAUUUAUUGGGCGUAAAGAGCUCGUAGGCGGUUCGACAAGUCGGGUGUGAAAACUCCGGGCUCAACCCGGAGACGCCACCCGAUACUGUCGUGACUGGAGUCCGGUAGGGGAGUGGGGAAUUCCUGGUGUAGCGGUGAAAUGCGCAGAUAUCAGGAGGAACACCGGUGGCGAAGGCGCCACUCUGGGCCGGUACUGACGCUGAGGCACGAAGGUCAGGGGAGCAAACGGG
RNAcentral lists this ribosomal RNA (254 nucleotides) under uncultured bacterium. RNAcentral describes it as "partial 16S ribosomal RNA". It matches the Rfam family "Bacterial small subunit ribosomal RNA", at positions 524 to 776 of the family's 1533-position model. The record is from RNAcentral.